Molecule: ribosomal RNA, 524 nt
Filed under: uncultured bacterium
Lineage: Bacteria
Description: partial 16S ribosomal RNA
Rfam family: Bacterial small subunit ribosomal RNA
Source: RNAcentral
GACGAACGCUGGCGGCGUGCCUAAUACAUGCAAGUCGAGCGCAGGAAACUGACGGAACUCUUCGGAGGGAAGGCAGUGGAAUGAGCGGCGGACGGGUGAGUAACACGUAAGGAACCUGCCUCAAGGAUUGGGAUAACUCCGAGAGAUCGGAGCUAAUACCGGAUAGGUCAACGGACCGCAUGGUCCGCUGAUGAAAGGCGCUCCGGCGUCACCUUGAGAUGGCCUUGCGGUGCAUUAGCUAGUUGGUGGGGUAACGGCUCACCAAGGCGACGAUGCAUAGCCGACCUGAGAGGGUGAUCGGCCACACUGGGACUGAGACACGGCCCAGACUCCUACGGGAGGCAGCAGUAGGGAAUCUUCCACAAUGGACGAAAGUCUGAUGGAGCAACGCCGCGUGAGUGAUGAAGGUUUUCGGAUCGUAAAACUCUGCUGUAAGGGAAGAACACGUACGAGAGGAAAUGCUCGUACCUUGACGGUACCUUACGAGAAAGCCACGGCUAACUACGUGCCAGCCGCCGCCGUCA